Molecule: microRNA, 22 nt
Filed under: Homo sapiens (human)
Lineage: Eukaryota; Metazoa; Chordata; Mammalia; Primates; Hominidae
Description: hsa-miR-548e-5p
Gene: hsa-miR-548e-5p
Source: miRBase by way of RNAcentral
CAAAAGCAAUCGCGGUUUUUGC